RNAcentral lists this transfer RNA (76 nucleotides) under Arsenophonus sp. ENCA. RNAcentral describes it as "tRNA-Lys". It matches the Rfam family "tRNA". Rfam says of the family: Transfer RNA (tRNA) molecules are approximately 80 nucleotides in length. Their secondary structure includes four short double-helical elements and three loops (D, anti-codon, and T loops). The record is from RNAcentral. Lineage: Bacteria; Pseudomonadati; Pseudomonadota; Gammaproteobacteria; Enterobacterales; Morganellaceae.
GGGUUAUUAGCUCAAUUGGUAGAGCAGUGGACUCUUAAUCCAUCGGUCGUAGGUUCGAACUCUGCAUAGCCCAGCA